This is a long non-coding RNA of Apis mellifera (honey bee), 5809 nucleotides long. RefSeq lists it as uncharacterized. The record is from RefSeq and is a predicted model, not a curated record. Lineage: Eukaryota; Metazoa; Arthropoda; Insecta; Hymenoptera; Apidae. The transcript has 2 exons.
AUUUGUCAUAAUUUUUAUUUCUGAUAUUUUGGAAAUUAUUUAAGACAAUUUAAGAAAUUUAGAGUUUAUUCUUAGUUUCUUAAAAGUUAUAACAUUAUUUUAAUUUUUUAACUAUUUCAAUUUCUUUUCAAACUUUUGCACUUUAUGAAAAACGUAAAAAUAUCUCUUUCUUUUAAUUAACUUAGAUUUUAUUGUAUCGCAGAGAUGAUAUAGAUUUUUAAAAAAGUUUAAUAAAAUCGCUAUCAAUUAUCUGUCUAAGCGCCGAUAUUCCUUCACUUAUCUAUUAGUCAUAAUUAAGUUUUUAAUUUUUUUUUUCUGUUUCCACUUAGACUAGAGAAGAAGAAAAGAAUUCGCCUAAAAAAAAAAUUAGAUAGCUUAUUGUACGUAAUAAUAAAAAUUGUUUAUAAAUGAUGCAUCUGAUGAUACGAAUCGUUGCGUUAAAUCUUCGAUUAAUCCAAUGACUCAGUGGAAAAGUAGAAAGAGAGAUAACUCGAUUGCCUCGCAUAUUAUUAUCUAUUUUCGAUUUACAUCUUCAAAUUGAUUACAUUUCUUAUUAAACGCUUUUCAAUAAAUAAUUUUUUCGUACAAGGAAACAAAAACAUUGAAAAUUGUAAUUGUAAUUGAAACAUUGAAAAUUGUAACCCAACUUAGCAUUCUUUUGGAAAUUAAUAAUUGAAGAGAUUGUAGAAUCGUGGAAAAAAUUUUCUCGAAUGUUAUCGCGUGACUUUUACUCUCGUCAUUUGGAAUCUUCUCUCCGUUCGAUAAAAUCAAAAAAUCAAAAAGAAGAAGGAAACGAAAUCUUUCUUUUACCUAACCUCUUUUACGAAUAUUUAACAACGCAUAUAAUUUCGAUUAAUACGAAAGGAGAAGGAUUCGACGAAAAUUUUCUCGAUCAUCGUUAAAAUAAUCUCGUUAUUUGGAAUCGUCUCUCCGUUCGAUAAAAUCAAAAAAUCAAAAAGAAGAAGGAAACGAAAUCUUUCUUUUACCUAACCUUUUUUACGAAUACUUAAUACUUCAUAUAUUUCGAUUAAUGCGACGAGAAGGAUUCGACAAAAAUUUUCUCGAAUGUUAUCGCACGAGCGUGACUUUUACUUGAUCAUCGUUAAAAUAAUUUCGUCAUUUGGAAUCGUCUCUCCGUUCGAUAAAAUCAAAAAAUCAAAAAGAAGAAGGAAACGAAAUCUUUCUUUUACCUAACCUCUUUUACGAAUAUUUAACAACGCAUAAUACAAUUUCGAUUAAUGGGACGAGAAGGAUUAAAAAAGGAAUUAAAAAAAGAAGAUUCUCAAGAGAAUUCAAAAGUCAAAGAUACAGAUUGAAAAAAAUUUAUCAUACAAAAACUCUCUCUCGUCCUUUCAACAAGCAACACGAAAACAAAUUCCAUCGAAUCCAGCCUGUUCCCCGAAGCAAAUCACACCACCCUCCUGGCUGUCGCUGCGAGUGAGCCAGCCCCAAUUUAAGAAUUGGGGCGGCCACUCCCGCCAGCCACAGGUGUCGUUUACAACGCGUUCCAAAGAAUUAUUCUCCGUCGAAUCGAAGGGGUUGCGUUCUCCACGAUUCCUCCUCCACCCUCCCCUCGUUUACAGAGAGAGAGAGAGAAUGAAAAACAAAGAGAGGCGACUCUUGUUUGAGGCAACAUGUGUGACGAUGGAGGAUUGGAGGCGGCGUUGUAUCCACAGCCACCUGCCGCAAGGCUGGCCACGUUCGUACGCACGUCCUGGGAAUUCGCUUUGCCGGAACGUAAAACGCGUGGAACGCGUCACGAAGGAUUCCGGUGUGAAUGAAUCACUUAAACGAGAAACACGCGGCUGGCAUACGUAAUGUUUCUGUUCGCGGCGCUUGAGAUGUUUGCCCGGGGAGAUGACGGGUUGAUGGAUGGAUGUUGGUGGUUGGUGGAGGAGAAGAGAACUUACUUUCGCCCUCCCCUCCCCCUUUUCACUCGCCACGCAACAGUCUCGAGCGAGGAUUCUCGAGAGAGAAUUUGUCGGGGAAUUUCCAAUUUUUCAACAUUUUUCAAAUCGAUCGAGAAAAAAAUGAUUAUCUCGUACAGCGAUAAGCGAUGGGUCAUUGAAUCGAUAAAAUUGAUAGAUGGAAUUGAAUCGAUAAUCUGGCUAGAAUAGUUGAAAAAUUUUCUCAGAGAGGAGGAGAAGAAAUUUGACGUGAUCAUGAACUAAUCGUGAGUCAUCCAACCGAUCGCUUAACACCGUCAGUGUUUCUCUCGAACAACGAUCCCUCUGUGACGAAAGGAAACGGAUACAGGAUCCCCCUUCGACGACUCUCUUCGACGGAUUGAAAAAAGAGAGAGAAAAAAAAAGACGAGGAAUACAGAAACAUCGGCCAUCGAUCAUCCCGAACAAUUACGUAAAAAUUAACGUCGAAAGCCUGUCGAAUCGUAUAAUAACGAAUUCACAUGCUGUCCAAGUCAAAAUCUUUCCUUUCAUCGAUGAAAAUUAGUCUUCCAAAUCUCUUUCGAUAACUCUUCAACAAUACGAAAUAUGAGAUCAUUUUGAAAAUUUGUAACAAAAUUCUUUAGAAAAUCAAUCUUUCGUUCAUCUCAAUUCUUCAUCGAUGAAAAUUACUUUUCCAAAUCUCUUUCGACAAUAAAUAUGAGAUGUCGAUCAUUUUGAAAAUUUAUAAUAAAAUUCUUUAGAAAAUCAAAUCAUCAUUUCAUCGAUCUUUCGCUCAUCUCAAUUCUUCAUCGAUAAAAAUUAUUCUUCCAAAUCUCUUUCGACAAUAACUCUUCGACAAUAAAUAUGAGAUCUCGAUCAUUUUAAAAAUUUACAAAAUACAAAAAACAAAAUUCUUUAGAAAAUCAAUUUCAUCGAUUAUCCUUUUUAUUUAACAAACUCGACAUCUUUCAUCUCAAUUCUUCAUCGAUGAAAAUUAUUCUUCCAAAUCUCUUUCAAUAACUCUUCAACAAUACGAAUAUGACAUCAUUUAAAAAAUUUAUAACUUCCUAAUAAUCUUUCUCCUAUUUAACAAACUCGACAUCUUUCAUCUCAAUUCUUCAUCGAUAAAAAUUAUUCUUCCAAAUUUCGACAAUAACUUUUCAACAAUAAAUAUGAGAUUUCGAUCAUUUAAAAAAUUUAUAACAAAAUUCUUUAGAAAAUCAAUUUCAUCGAUCUUUCGCUCAUCUCAAUUCUUCAUCGAUGAAAAUUAGUCUUCCAAAUCUCUUUUGACAAUAACUCUUCAAUAAUAAAUAUGAGAUCUCGAUCAUUUAAAAAAUUUAUAAUUCUUUAGAAAAUUCUUUCAUCGAGGAUUAUAUUUUUCUUUUAUCCACCAAACUCGACAAAAUCUUUCAUCUCAACAAGAGCUUAAAUUACCAAAAAAAAAAAAAAACACUUUUCGAUUAUCCCAGAAGAUUUUACAUCCACGAAAUUCUUCCUAAGAAUUUCCUUCCACCGAUGAAAAUUAUUUUUCCAAUGGCAAGCAAGCAUCGACGCGAGAUGACGUUGGAAAUUUUAUUAAUUUAUAUAUCGAGCAAGGAAGAGGGGUGUGAGAUAUGCGCUUCGAUAUUAACUUCACCCUCUCCCCUCCUUCUCUCCGUCUACUUUUCGACGCCUUUCCUUCUAUCCGGACGAAGAUUUAAUUCGUUUCGGAGCGACGAUGCCCGGAUAAAGAAGUGGAGACGGGGUGAAAAUGACGAGGGAUAACGAGGGAGCAGAAUGGAAGAGAAUGGAACCGUAUGAGUUGGCAGCGAGCAUCGGUUGUGAGUCAGUCUAACAAUUUUCUCUGCGACAUCUCGUCCUCCCUCCCCCUCCAAUGAUUCUCUUUCCUUCCUUCCUUCCUUCUUUCUUUUUUUUUCGUUUCACGUGACACGAGUUUAUAAGAGGAAUUGAAAUGGUUUGAAGUGGAAUGCUUUUUAGUAAAAUUGAAAGAAUUUGAAUCGACGGAUAAUCGAGAGAUUGGAAAGAAAUUCGAAUUUUUAUACGCGGAGAAAAAUGGAUGAUUUUUGUAAAAAAGAAAGAACUUUUAUUGCGAAAGGCAUUGCUGCUUACUCGGCUAUUGUUCUAAAUUUAACCAUUGUGCUAUACCUUCGCCCGAUGAAACUUGCACGAAGGUAGGUAAAAAUCGCUUUGUACUAUUGUUACGUUAGUACUAUCUAGAGACCAGCGUGCUCUCUCUUUGUCAAUAAACAUUAUCGAUCCGAGAGUUAGAGAGGCGAUUGUGACGUGGCUCGGCUACAUGUAAAACGACGCACCAACCAUGCCCGAUAUCUCCUCCUCGUGUAUGCUUUCAUUCAACCUUUGUUGUCCAUUAGAUAGAGAAUAAUGAAGAAUGUGAAGCACGAUAUAAAAAAAAAGAAAAAGAAAGAAAGAAAUAAGCAAUAAAAAGAGACCGAGAGAAGAAACGUUUCCACUCUUUCUCUUUGCACUUUUAAUCCAAAGAGAAAGAAAAUUAAACACGGAUAAAAAUUUUUGAAGUACAAACAUUUCCAAUAGAUCUUAGAUACAUAUUUUUCUUUUUUCUUUUUUCUUUCUAUCUUUAUCAAGAUUAAUCUUCACUAUAAUAUAUACUAUAUCACAGAGACAUUUCUAUCCCCAUCAAGUAUUGUUAAGUAUCGUUUCAACUUUCAUUAUAAUCUUCUAGAUCUUUAAUUAUUAUUUAAAAAACUAUUAUUUAAAUUAUUCGAAGUAGAUAUAUGUACAAAGCUUCUUUCUUUUUCCUUUCCACUAAUUCAACUUGCCAUCUUUUCUGAAUCCUCCAAAUGUAAUUUAUUAAAUUUUAAAGAAUUCAACUUCUAAAAAAAUUCCCAACGAAAGAUAAAAGAGACUCGUCCUUUCGAAUCUAACUCGAGUAAAAAAGAAAAGGGAGAGGAGAAACCUUGUCAAAAAAAGAAAAAAGAAACGAAAGAUAAAGACACGCAAGCUUUCUUUGCUCGAUGAAAAUUUUAUUCUUCAUAUUCGCCAUCACAGUGGAUUAAAAGAGAAAAAGGAAUAAUGACGUACGCUCUUUCUACUGACAUCCAUCGAUCCGAGAAACGAUUUUUCGAUCGUUGGAGAAUUAUAAAGAACGAAUGCAACACAGGUGUGGGUAACGGGAUGGAAAAUUAGUAUUCACCCGAUUUCUUUCUUUUUUUUUUCGGUGUUAAGAUAACCGUGUGAUGGGUUGUCAUUUAUCGCCACACGGCUUAUCGUCACACGCUUAUCGUUCAGGUGGGCACUCCGAUACGGUGUUUAGUCACCCCGGAUUCGAGUGGAAAAAAAGGAGGAAGAAACUGGUAGAUAAUAAAAAAAGAGAGAGAGAGAAAGAGGAGGAGAGGAAAUGAAAUCGCGCGAUAAGAGGUGUUUUGCUCUUAGGGAAAAUUAUUUAGAAUUUCCAGGAAUCGAUAACGCGAUCGAUAACGUGGCUUAUUUAUCUAUAUUUUAAAAAAAAAGAUUUUUACAAGGGAUAAACUCGAUCACAAGUAGAUUAAUUGUAUAACUAAUUUGAUUUUUAUCUGAUAAACAGUCGACAUUGUAACUGUUUCUUUCUUCUACAAUCGGUGAUUAUUAUUUCAUAAUCUAGUUGCUCCGAUCCUUUCCUUCUUUCUUUUUCCUUUCCACUAACAAUUCAACUUGCCAUCUUUUCUGAAUCCUCCAAAUGUAAUUUUACAUUUAUUAAAUUUUAAAGAAUUCAACUUCUAAAAAAAUGCCCAACGAAAGAUAAAAGAGACUCGUCCUUUCGAAUCUAACUCGAGUAAAAAAAAAAGGGAGAGGAGAAACCUUGUCAAAAAAAAGAAAAAAGAAACGAAAGAUAAAGACACGCAAAGAUGAAGAAACGCACGGUCCAAUCUCACGAUCCUUUCACCAAAAAAAAAAAAAAAAAAAAA